GUGCUCCCUUUGGCAGCACAUAUGCUAAAAUUGGAACAGUACAGAGAAGAUUAGCAUGGCCCCUGUGCAGGUGUGAUACACAAAUCCACAAAGCAUUCCAUAUUUAA
Zalophus californianus (California sea lion) is the source of this 107-nucleotide small nuclear RNA. The record is from Ensembl. NCBI's taxonomy places the organism in Eukaryota, Metazoa, Chordata, Mammalia, Carnivora, Otariidae.